AUAUUUUCAUUAUAUUUGAAUUUUACAUUUUCGCGCAUUCCCUGUAUGCCCAUCGGUCGUUAUGUGGCCACAAUGUUGUCGUCGUUCCGUGCCGUGGCUGUCAUUUGUUGCGUUUAAGGAGCUUUUUAGCUUUCCGCACUUUUAGACAGUGUUUAGUGUCCACCGAUCUCUCCCCUGCUCCCUCGUCGACUCCUCUUUCUUUCGUGGCAGUUUUCCAGGUAGCUUCCUUUUGCGUUUCGUUGCUCAUGGGUUGUAGAUAAAAUGGCGCUUCUCCCAAAUCUAUUUGAUAUAAAACGGAGGGAAGAUGAGCUCGGGAGAAUGUACGGACAAUCUUGGUUUGAUAUUCGACAGCCUUUACGUAGCCAUACUUCUACGACCUCAUGUUAAACUAUAACAAUAGUAACAAUACAACUCGGGAGGUGAUAUGGUGAGCUGAGCAUAGGGUUAGAAGGAAAUACGGGACGCUUUAAACUUGGAACCGUGGUGGCUGACAUCGAGGUCUGCGCUGUCAUAGUGGCAGUCAUUCAGCUCACACCACAGCUGCGGUUAGCUACGAGCGUGUGUGCGUGUGUGUGUGUGUGUGUGUGUGUGUGUGUGUGUGUGUGUGUGUGUGUGUGUGUGUGUGUGUGUGUGUGUGUGUGUGUGUGUGUGUUUGCGCGCUUGCGUACGUGCGUGCGCGCGCGCUUGUGUGUGCGUGUAUUGUGUGUGCGCGCGCGCGCGCGCGCGCGUGUGUGUGUGUGUGUGUGUGUGUGUGUGUGUGUGUGUGUGUGUGGUGUGUGUGUGUGUGUGUGUGUGUGUGUUUGAGAGCUACAGUCGGUGGACACAUUUAAUACGACUGGAGAAAAGUUUAUACUAUUGCAGUGCAGGUUCGUGUAGAAGGAAUCCGUUCCAACACGCAGUUUGAACCGCGAGCGAGGACACGAGGGCGGGUGUUCCCGGCGUGCGGAAGCGUUCUGAUUAAUAUUAGUGUGGGGGAAACAGUACAGUAGAGGCGUUAUGACUAGUAAUGCGAUUUAAUAAGUAACAGUGGAAUUCGCCUGAAAAAAAUCCUAAAAGGAUUUUUCUUUUGUUCUUUAGAAUAGGCGUACCUACUUGUUGGUGUGUUGAACGCCUCUUUCUAUCAAUGAGACUUGGCCUGUGUCCAAAAUGAACACAAGGUUAAAUAUAAAGGUACGUUUUAGUAACUUAUAGCCCUAUAUAUAUUCACAAGGAAUGUGUGAGACAUUUGCUGAGCUCGUAUAUGGGCUACAAUUUCCACCGGGCAAUCAUGCUCAAAGGAGGAAAAAAAAGAACGAAAAUAUUAUCUUCAGAAUGACCUCACCAGUUUGGGAAUAUUAGUUUUUUCAAUGAGAAAUACCUUGGCUUCACUCCAUAACACGCUAUACGGUAGAUAUAUCUUGUUAAACAGUAGGCCUACUAUAAUACAGAGAACAACUCAGAGGGGCCUAUGUGCAUUUUUCAACAUCCCAUGAAGCUUUUCAAUUAAUGUUAAAUGUAACCAUGCUAAUACAAUUCCAUUAAAAUAACUUGUGCUUAUCCUCUCGAGGCUCUGUUUUAUCUGUUGUUUUGCAUAAAGCUAACAAUUCUCUCAAGUUUGUAGUUUGUUUUCUUCAACUGACCUUUUUCAGCUGCUGCUGCUGCUGCUGCAUAAAUAGGCUAGCAGCAGCUAUUUAUUUGUUACCCCUUUUUCCAGAAUUUAGCUUAUUAAGAAAAAUACAGCGUAACAUCUUAUGAUAACUUUAAUGAGUUGUGAAUUGAUCAGAUAGUUGGAAGGCAGAACGAAGCCAGCACGGGGCUUCGUUCCAAGGCCGCAGCGAGUGCCGUGUGUCCUUGCAGGAGCCAGCCGCUCUCAGUACCUUUCCUAAGUUAAAGACUUUAUAUCCUUUUUUCUGAACGACAUUGUAUGGUUAUUUUACACAGACUGGGUUUAAAUAAGCUUCUGGGACCUAUAGUCUUAAGGACCAAAUUAUAACGAAUUUUCUAAUCAUUUGAUUCAUUAUUGAUGUAAUACAUUACAGGGUUUCAUCUUAAAAUGUAUAUUUCAUUUCCAAAACCUGCUAAGACUUUAAAGAGAAAGAUUGAAUGUUAGGUUCAGACGCAGACCUACCGCAGUGGUCCAUUUAAAAUAAAAAUGGUUUAUGAGAGUCAACAGAAAAGCCAACAGUUGUGGCCAAAUAAUAAAGCUGUUUGACUAUGCGGAAAAAUUCCCCACUAUAUUAUUACACCGGUAGGCUAACAAUUUAAAGACUCAUUGCAUUGCAAAUUCUUCUAACUUCUAAAUCAUCGAUUAAUGCAAAUAAUUUCGAAAUAAAAAUGCAUAAAAACCCAGGGAUGGAAUUGAAAACGGCCCUACAAGUCACCCUUCAAAUAUGAGGCUUGGCCAAUGCUUAGUGCCAUAGGUUGGUCGUUUAAUUGUGUGGUUUUUGAACAAAACAAACUUUAAUAGUGACCUGGAGGUGUCAGAAUCGAUAGAUAUCUGAAUGUGUAAUUAGGUCCGGCACAAGGGCAUGUUUAGUAUAGAUUCCAGAGAGUGGUAGACGCGGGACCGCAUUGAGCGUCUCUUCUUUCCAUUAAUUAAAAUGUAUUGGCAACAGAUCCUCUCGAUGUCCGCCUGCAUGCUGUCCAUAUGCGAAAUACAUAUUGAUUUUGUUAGACUACAGUUGGGCGUACGGUCCGACUGAUAUUUGUUAAACAGAAGUGAUUUUUUUUGGACCCCAUCGCUAUGGGAAUAUAAGCAAUGUUUCAAAUGAUCGCCACGCCAAUGAAAGAUGAGUCAUAUUUUUCCCGGACCGUAAUGGAACGUGACAACACUCGCACCCCACCGUACGGCUGUAUUUUAAACACGUUAUAUUCGGUUCUCUGCUUUUCCUUGUGACGCUGCAGAGUGUUUGUGCAUGGGCAACCGUGUAGGCCUACGCGUGUCAUCAGUAAAUGGGAAUAUUCCAGGUCAUUUUCUUCGAUGUUCUUCAAUUCAUACCAUAGGCCUAUAUCUAAUUAACAAUUAUCAAACUACGACUGAAACCAACAACAAACAAUGUGCCUUGUAAUUAAUGUUUAAAGGUCAGAAAGUAGGCUUAAUGCCGGACACCGGGCAUGCUGGACGCAAGGUACCAUCAGCCAAAUUAUUAAAUUUGCAAAACUGCACUGGGAGGUUAUUACAGGGGAACAUGGCAGCGUUUCACAACCUUGUAGGACAAAAAUCAUUAGCAUAAAGUUUUAAUGUGGUUUGAAGUUCACCGAGCCGUCGUUAAUUAAAAACUUUAUGCGAUGUGUUCCGAUAUCAAUUAUUUCAGACUCCAGCAAGACCCCUCCAAAUGUGAUGUAGGCUGUAAUAAACGUGGAGUGCGACUUCAGUUCAGCUCCUAACUGGGCAGCAGAGCUGUGUUUGCCUUCACACAGUGCCAACACUAGAAGCUUACUGCAACUCGCUGCAACGCUCCGCUCUUUUUUUGUACGAGAGCUUAUGUCCAAUUAUUUACAGUUAAAGUAUUUAAGAUUUGGAGAACAAAUGAAAACUUGAAAUUCUUUCUGUCACGUAAUUUGGCGAAAUGCUUGAAAGCAAACACAGCAAACAGGCCUAUAGUAAUUGCCUCUAUAGAAAAAGAAUACAAAUGCUGCUAGAAUAAAACGGUGCUUGUAGUUGCUAUUCUAGUGCGAGUGCGUAAUUGAUGUGCCGCUGCGCAAGAUAAACCGAAAAGUUCAUUAUGCCUUUUGCGUGUGUCAUUCGCGCAAAAACGAGAUCCUAUGUUCCAUCAUGUGUCCCCUCAUAGUGUCCACACCACAUUCAUGUUUUCUUGCUGGCUGUACAGUUUUUGCUGUACAUUAAGACAAUUCAUUCUAGAGUUGUUUUUAUUUGUACUCAACAGCAGCAAUGACUUUGGGAAUCCAAGACCAAUGUCAGUUUUUUACUAUACGCCUUGGUACACAGUGUGUGUGUGUGUGUGUGUGUGUGUGUGUGUGUGUGUGUGUGUGUGUGUGUGUGUGUGUGUGUGUGUGUGUGUGUGUGUGUGUGUGUGUGUGUGUGUGUGUGUGUGUGUGUGUGUGUGUGUGUGUGCGUGCGUGUGUGCGUGUUAUUCCUGUUCUGUUGAUGCUGGGCCCUGCGUCAGCUGUAGGUUCUGGUUUCAAUAGGACACAGUGAUGGCGGAGGUGCUUCUGUAAGCUGAGGUGGGCCUGAUCUGGUAACAUACCAGUACCAGCAUCACUUUACAUCACGUACACCUACACACAAACACACACAUCAAAACACACACUCAAACACGCUUGCUCAAGCAGACACACGCAAACUUGCUCAAACACAAACAAAAUACACACAAAACACACACACAACACAUACAAAGUGGCCGAAGAGCCACUGCUGGAGUUUUGGUGGAGGGCCGGCGUGGCGACUGGCCUGGGGGUGGUGGGAGUGGUGGAGGGCCGGCGUGGCGACUGGCCUGGGGGUGGUGGGCGUGGUGGAGGGCCGGCGUGGUGACUGUCUGGUGGAGGUGGGUUUGGUGCCGGUGUGGCGACUGGCCUGGUGGAGGUGGGUUUGGUGGGGAUGGGUUUGGUGGAGGUGGGUUUGGUGGAGGUGGGUUUGGUGGGGAUGGGUUUGGUGCUGAAUAAAGGGCUGCUGGAGGCUGCGUGGCACUGCCAGCUCUGCCAGCGCUGCCAGCCAGGCAGGAGGCAUGAUAGUAGCCGCAGCCCGGGGGAACAUUGUGUUCUUUUGCCUUAUUCAUGAUUUCGCUUUUUUUUUGUUACCGCCGCCAUCGUUCUCCGAGUGUUUCGAUUGGACAGUCGCCGUGGUCUCUGAGGCUCGGCGUCUUCUUUUUAUCCAUCAGGCAAACACUGGCUAAGGAGGACAGUAUUAAUAAUACAGAUACCAUGCACGUUAAUAAUGCUGGCGACGUAAUAGAGUGCGGCUUUUCAUCAAUCGUAUAUUAGCUUCUAAUUUGUGUAUAAAGACAUCUCACACUGUAUUAGUGUGUGUUUAUUCCGAAUGUACUGUUACUCAUAUAAAUGUAUAAUAUAAAUAUAUGAUAGUUUGUAAAAAUAUGCGGUUUAAUUGAGUUGCUAUUUAACACAUAGGCAUUUGACAGCAUGUGUGUGUGCACUGCAGUUUUUCUCAGAUCUCAGUUCCAUAAGUUGAAAUCCAUACUGGGGUUUCCUCUCAAUUCUUAUCUGUUCAGUCUUCCUGUCGGCCGGUGAAAUAUCCAUUUCUCAUGCCUUACUUACACAAUUAGCACCAAGGUAUGGUUGGAUAUGAUAUGAUUGUAUGUGUGUUCCUGUUUGCCAAUAGGUAAACUGUUUUUUUUUGUGUGUGUGUGUGUGUGUGUGUGUGUGUGUGUGUGUGUGUGUGUGUGUGUGUGUGUGUGUGUGUGUGUGUGUGUGUGUGUGUAUGUGUGUGUGUGUGUGUGUGUGUGUGUGUGUGUGUGUGUGUGUGUGUGUGU
Gadus macrocephalus (Pacific cod) is the source of this 5426-nucleotide long non-coding RNA. RefSeq lists it as uncharacterized. The record is from RefSeq and is a predicted model, not a curated record. The transcript has 3 exons. NCBI's taxonomy places the organism in Eukaryota, Metazoa, Chordata, Actinopteri, Gadiformes, Gadidae.